Pelodiscus sinensis (Chinese soft-shelled turtle) is the source of this 434-nucleotide non-coding RNA. The record is from RefSeq and is a predicted model, not a curated record. Lineage: Eukaryota; Metazoa; Chordata; Testudines; Trionychidae.
UCAUACUGAUUCUUUCUUGCUAUAAAUUCACCUCUUUUGGCUAAAAAUAUAGCUUGUUCCUUAGUUAUUUGUAGUGUAUCUAACUAAAUUAAACCCUAAGGAGGAAAUUUUGUGCUCUCUUUCACAGUGCAGCUCACACAGAAGAAAAUGGAAUCUGCAGGUUUUCAGUGAUUCUAAAUGUGAUUCAGAAGCUAACUUUUGGCACUCAGGAUAUAUUAUACAGAUUUGAGGAAGGUGGCCUUCUACAGGUGGAAGUUCUGGAGCCAUUGCUGGUCAUUCCAUAGCUGCAGGACGAUGUGAUCCCACCUGCCCGAACUAGUCUCCCGCCACCAGAUGCGGUGUUACACAGUGUCCAGGGGAGUGAAGGGCAUGCGCAGCAGCAGGAGUGCCAGAACCUGGAGAAGAGAAGAGAAGAGAAGAGAAGAGAAGAGAAG